Antechinus flavipes (yellow-footed antechinus) is the source of this 107-nucleotide small nuclear RNA. The record is from RefSeq and is a predicted model, not a curated record. NCBI's taxonomy places the organism in Eukaryota, Metazoa, Chordata, Mammalia, Dasyuromorphia, Dasyuridae.
GUGCUUGCUUUGGCAGCACUUAUAUUAAAAUUGGAAUGAUACAGGGAAGAUUAACAUGACCCUUUUGCAAAGAUGACAUGCAAAUUCAUGAAGCGAUCCAUAUAUUU